RNAcentral lists this ribosomal RNA (848 nucleotides) under uncultured delta proteobacterium. RNAcentral's name for it is "bacterial SSU rRNA". It matches the Rfam family "Bacterial small subunit ribosomal RNA", at positions 151 to 918 of the family's 1533-position model. The record is from RNAcentral. Lineage: Bacteria; Deltaproteobacteria.
GAUAAGUUGGGAGGAAACUCAGAUGAGUCACUAGUGAAUUCGCGGCCGCCUGCUGUCGACCAUAUGGGAGAGCUCCCAACGCGUUGGAUGCAUAUCUUGAGUAUUCGAUAGUGUCACCUAAAUAGCUUGGCGUAAUCAUGGUCAUAGCUGUUUCCUGACUAUCAGCUUGUUGGUGGGGUGAUGGCCUACCAAGGCGACGACGGGUAGCCGGCCUGAGAGGGCGACCGGCCACACUGGGACUGAGACACGGCCCAGACUCCUACGGGAGGCAGCAGUGGGGAAUAUUGGACAAUGGGGGAAACCCUGAUCCAGCGACGCCGCGUGGGUGAUGAAGGCCUUCGGGUCGUAAAGCCCUGUCUGGGGGGACGAAUCCCCCGCUGGUGAACAACCGGCGGGAAUGACGGUACCCCCGAAGGAAGCACCGGCUAACUCUGUGCCAGCAGCCGCGGUAAGACAGAGGGUGCUAGCGUUGUUCGGAAUUACUGGGCGUAAAGGGCGCGUAGGCGGUCUGUUAAGUUCGGUGUGAAAGCCCUCGGCUCAACCGAGGAAGUGCGCCGGAUACUGGCAGACUUGAGUACCGGAGAGGAGGGUGGAAUUCCUGGUGUAGCGGUGAAAUGCGUAGAUAUCAGGAGGAACACCGGUGGCGAAGGCGGCCCUCUGGACGAGUACUGACGCUGAGGCGCGAAAGCGUGGGGAUCAAACAGGAUUAGAUACCCUGGUAGUCCACGCUGUAAACGGUGGGGACUAGGUGUGGGGGGUAUUGACCCCUCCCGUGCCGACGCUAACGCAUUAAGUCCCCCGCCUGGGGAUUACGGCCGCAAGGUUAAAACUCAAAUGAAUUGACCGGG